GGACCGUUAGCUCAGCUGGAUAGAGCGCUGCCCUCCGAAGGCAGAGGCCAGAGGUUCGAAUCCUCUACGGUUCGCCA
This 77-nucleotide transfer RNA is filed under the name Tateyamaria sp. Its description in RNAcentral is "tRNA-Arg". It matches the Rfam family "tRNA". From Rfam's summary of the family: Transfer RNA (tRNA) molecules are approximately 80 nucleotides in length. The record is from RNAcentral. Lineage: Bacteria; Pseudomonadati; Pseudomonadota; Alphaproteobacteria; Rhodobacterales; Roseobacteraceae.